AGUGAACGCUGGCGGUAGGCCUAACACAUGCAAGUCGAACGGCAGCACAGGACAGCUUGCUCUCUGGGUGGCGAGUGGCGGACGGGUGAGGAAUACAUCGGAAUCUACUUUUUCGUGGGGGAUAACGUAGGGAAACUUACGCUAAUACCGCAUACGACCUACGGGUGAAAGCAGGGGACCUUCGUGCCUUGCGCGAUUGAAUGAGCCGAUGUCGGAUUAGCUAGUUGGCGGGGUAAAGGCCCACCAAGGCGACGAUCCGUAGCUGGUCUGAGAGCAUGAUCAGCAGCACUGGACCUGAGACACGGGACAGGCUCAUACGGGAGGGAGCAGUGGGGACUAUUGGAAAAUGGGCGCAAGCCUGAGCCAGCCAUACCGCGUGGGUGAAGAAGGCCUUCGGGUUGUAAAGCCCUUUUGUUGGGAAAGAAAUCCAGCUGGCUAAUACCCGGUUGGGAUGACGGUACCCAAAGAAUAAGCACCGGCUAACUUCGUGCCAGCCGCCGCCGUAA
RNAcentral lists this ribosomal RNA (506 nucleotides) under uncultured bacterium. RNAcentral's name for it is "partial 16S ribosomal RNA". It matches the Rfam family "Bacterial small subunit ribosomal RNA", at positions 29 to 523 of the family's 1533-position model. The record is from RNAcentral.